RNAcentral lists this ribosomal RNA (400 nucleotides) under Austrotheres pregenzeri. RNAcentral's name for it is "partial large subunit ribosomal RNA". The record is from RNAcentral. Lineage: Eukaryota; Metazoa; Arthropoda; Malacostraca; Decapoda; Pinnotheridae.
AGGUAGCAUAAUCAUUAGUUUUUUAAUUGAGAUCUUGAAUGAAUGGUUGGACAAAAGAAAUACUGUCUUUAAUAUUAUUAUUGAAUUUAACUUUUAAGUAAAAAGGCUUAAAUUAUUUAAAAAGACGAUAAGACCCUAUAAAGCUUUAUAAGUAAUUCUUAUUAGAUUAAAUUAAUUAAUAAAAUUUUGGUAAGCUUUAUUAUUUUGUUGGGGAGAUAAAAUUAUAAAUAUAAAUAACUGAAAGUAAAUUAUACAAUUAUUUUUGUUUGGUGAAAAUUAAAGAUCCUUGUUAAAGAUUAAAAGGUUAAGUUACUUUAGGGAUAACAGCGUUAUUUUUCUUGAGAGUUCAUAUCGAAAGAAAAGAUUGCGACCUCGAUGUUGAAUUAAAUUGUCUUGGUAA